GAUGAACGCUGGCGGCGUGCCUAAUACAUGCAAGUCGAGCGAACAGAUGAGGAGCUUGCUCCUCUGACGUUAGCGGCGGACGGGUGAGUAACACGUGGAUAACCUACCUAUAAGACUGGGAUAACUUCGGGAAACCGGAGCUAAUACCGGAUAAUAUAUUGAACCGCAUGGUUCAAUAGUGAAAGACGGUUUUGCUGUCACUUAUAGAUGGAUCCGCGCCGCAUUAGCUAGUUGGUAAGGUAACGGCUUACCAAGGCAACGAUGCGUAGCCGACCUGAGAGGGUGAUCGGCCACACUGGAACUGAGACACGGUCCAGACUCCUACGGGAGGCAGCAGUAGGGAAUCUUCAGCAAUGGGCGAAAGCCUGACGGAGCAACGCCGCGUGAGCGAUGAAGGUCUUCGGAUCGUAAAACUCUGUUAUUAGGGAAGAACAAAUGUGUAAGUAACUAUGCACGUCUUGACGGUACCUAAUCAGAAAGCCACGGCUAACUACGUG
This 497-nucleotide ribosomal RNA is filed under the name uncultured bacterium. Its description in RNAcentral is "partial 16S ribosomal RNA". It matches the Rfam family "Bacterial small subunit ribosomal RNA", at positions 28 to 507 of the family's 1533-position model. The record is from RNAcentral.